ACUGCUUUUCUUUGAUAUCCCAAUAUUGAGGAACCCGAUAGUCAUCCAUUUUGGUUCAAGACUAUCGGGUUUUUUUAU
Molecule: small RNA, 78 nt
Filed under: Photorhabdus luminescens
Lineage: Bacteria; Pseudomonadati; Pseudomonadota; Gammaproteobacteria; Enterobacterales; Morganellaceae
Description: RybB RNA
Rfam family: RybB RNA
About the family: This ncRNA was identified in a large scale screen of E. coli. The function of this short RNA is unknown.
Source: RNAcentral